RNAcentral lists this ribosomal RNA (1017 nucleotides) under Triticum aestivum (bread wheat). RNAcentral describes it as "partial small subunit ribosomal RNA". The record is from RNAcentral. Lineage: Eukaryota; Viridiplantae; Streptophyta; Magnoliopsida; Poales; Poaceae.
AUGAUCGCGUUGUGGGUUGCUGCCUGCAGCCUGCUGUCGUGGUGUUCGUCGCUCUCGGGAGUCGAAGGAAUUGGAGUCAACUAUGGCAUGAUGGGCAGCAACCUCCCGUCCCCGGACAAGGUGGUGGCGCUGUACAAAGCCAACAACAUCACCGACGUCCGCAUCUUCCACCCGGACACCAACGUCCUCGAGGCCCUCCGCGGCUCAGGCCUCGGCGUCGUCCUCGGCACGCUCAACAGCGACCUCGCCCCGCUCGCCUCCGACGCCUCGUACGCCGCGUCAUGGGUGCAGUCCUACGUGCAGCCCUUCGCCGGCGCCGUGAGCUUCCGCUACAUCAACGCCGGGAACGAGGUCAUACCGGGGGAGUCCGCCGGUCUGGUGCUCCCCGCCAUGCAGAACCUCGAGGCCGCGCUCCGGGCCGCGGGGCUCAGUGUGCCGGUAACGACGGCCAUGGCGACGUCGGUGCUCGGGACCUCGCACCCGCCGUCGCAGAGCGCGUUCUCGGAGGCGGCGCUGCCGACGGUCGGGCCGAUCGUCUCCUUCCUGGCGUCGAGGGGCACGCCGCUGCUCGUGAACGUGUACCCGUACUUCGCCUACUCGGCGGAGCCGUCCUCGGUGCCGCUCGACUACGCGCUCCUGUCGUCGUCGGCCGCGGUGGCGGUGACCGACAACGGGGUUGAGUAUGCCAACAUGUUCGACGCCAUCCUGGACGCGGUGUACGCGGCCGUGGAGAAGGCCGGGGGCGGGGAGAGCAUGGCGCUGGUGGUGUCGGAGACCGGGUGGCCGUCGGGCGGCGGCGGGUACGGCGCCAGCGUGGAGAACGCGGCGGCGUACAUCAACAACCUGGUCCGGCACGUGGGGCGCGGCACGCCGCGGCGGCCCGGGAAGGCCGUGGAGACGUAUAUCUUCGCCAUGUUCAACGAGAACCAGAAGCCCGAGGGCGUGGAGCAGUACUUCGGGAUGUUCCAGCCGGACAUGAGCCAGGUCUACCACGUCGACUUCUCGGCUUCGUCCUAA